Molecule: ribosomal RNA, 496 nt
Filed under: uncultured bacterium
Lineage: Bacteria
Description: partial 16S ribosomal RNA
Rfam family: Bacterial small subunit ribosomal RNA
Source: RNAcentral
AUGAACGCUGGCGGCGUGCCUCAUACCUGCAAGUCGAGCGAACAGACGAGGAGCUUGCUCCUCUGACGUUAGCGGCGGACGGGUGAGUAACACGUGGAUAACCUACCUAUAAGACUGGGAUAACUUCGGGAAACCGGAGCUAAUACCGGAUAAUAUAUUGAACCGCAUGGUUCAAUAGUGAAAGACGGUUUUGCUGUCACUUAUAGAUGGAUCCGCGCCGCAUUAGCUAGUUGGUAAGGUAACGGCUUACCAAGGCAACGAUGCGUAGCCGACCUGAGAGGGUGAUCGGCCACACUGGAACUGAGACACGGUCCAGACUCCUACGGGAGGCAGCAGUAGGGAAUCUUCCGCAAUGGGCGAAAGCCUGACGGAGCAACGCCGCGUGAGUGAUGAAGGUCUUCGGAUCGUAAAACUCUGUUAUUAGGGAAGAACAAAUGUGUAAGUAACUAUGCACGUCUUGACGGUACCUAAUCAGAAAGCCACGGCUAACUACGUG